Long non-coding RNA from Odocoileus virginianus texanus, 311 nucleotides. RefSeq lists it as uncharacterized. The record is from RefSeq and is a predicted model, not a curated record. NCBI's taxonomy places the organism in Eukaryota, Metazoa, Chordata, Mammalia, Artiodactyla, Cervidae.
CUAGAAGCAGAAUAGUCAGAGUUUGCCUGCUUAAUGUCAGAGGCAAAGAGAAACUUCUAGCAAAUUCUCUAAGUGAAUGCUGAGUGCUUCUCGCAUACGUAUAAUUUACUGGGUGCAAGAAAGAAUUGAAAUAAGAUGGUGGCACAAACCAGCUCUAAAGAAUAUCGAAGGAACGGAGACACUCCAGGAUUUUCACACACAUAAGAUAACAAGAACAUAAAAUAAGAGGGACUAGGGAGGCCUGAGGAGAGGACAAAAGACAAGGAAUGGCCAGUCAGUGGAGCAGUAAGAACACACACAACAUUUAUCAG